RNAcentral lists this ribosomal RNA (395 nucleotides) under uncultured bacterium. RNAcentral describes it as "bacterial SSU rRNA". It matches the Rfam family "Bacterial small subunit ribosomal RNA", at positions 521 to 916 of the family's 1533-position model. The record is from RNAcentral.
UAAUACGAAGGGGGCUAGCGUUGUUCGGAAUUACUGGGCGUAAAGCGCACGUAGGCGGUUUUCCAAGUUGGAGGUGAAAUCCCCGGGCUUAACCUGGGAACUGCCUCCAAGACUGGGAGACUCGAGUCCGAGAGAGGUGAGUGGAAUUUCCAGUGUAGAGGUGAAAUUCGUAGAUAUUGGAAAGAACACCAGUGGCGAAGGCGGCUCACUGGCUCGGUACUGACGCUGAGGAGCGACAGCGUGGGGAGCAAACAGGAUUAGAUACCCUGGUAGUCCACGCCGUAAACUAUGGGUGCUAGUUGUCAGGCAGCUUGCUGUUUGGUGACGCAGCUAACGCAUUAAGCACCCCGCCUGGGGAGUACGGUCGCAAGAUGAAAACUCAAAGGAAUUGACGG